Phascolarctos cinereus (koala) is the source of this 730-nucleotide non-coding RNA. The record is from RefSeq and is a predicted model, not a curated record. NCBI's taxonomy places the organism in Eukaryota, Metazoa, Chordata, Mammalia, Diprotodontia, Phascolarctidae.
GUAGCAGUUCUAGACUUAGAAAUCCACUGUCAGGGCCAGCUGCUGAGGUCGAGCUAUUAUUCAUCCCCAGGACCAGACAACAAAAUAUGAUGGUCAGAAUGAUGACCCCAUCCCAGCAUUACACAAUGAUGAAAUCAUCAAAUAAAGGGCCCUUUGUCUUGCUGCCUGAAUCCAGCCUGGCCAGAGACUGAACAGCUUAUCAAGACAGGAGGCAUGCCAUCUAGAUACAGCUACCCAACAAAUCUCUUUGCACCACAAACGACACAUCUCCCUGCUUUUGCUAAGUCUCAUUUUGGAGGUAACUACACCACCGAUCUCAGUGUCAACACACGUUGAAAGAAGACUCAUCAAAAUGCCCAGCCAUCAAAUUAAAGCCUCAAAUGCAACACUCCCCUGUGUGCUAUAUGAAGAAGUAAAAAUGGAACUGAAGAAAACAGAGGAGAAGAACACAGGACUAGACCACACAUCCGGAGAAGACGUAGGUGCCAGAGGAAAUGACAGGAUUUUGAAGAAUGGAGGAUACCAAAUGUUUGGGGAAAAAUCCAUCAAAUUAAAAAGGCAACCAGGGAAACAGCAAUCACAUCUGAGUCACAUACUUACAUUCACAGCUUUACAAAAUGUUUUUAAUAAAUGUUUUCAUUAAUAAAAAUAUAACCAUCACUUCCUAAUGGUGCCCCACCACCCACCAAUAGAAUCCUCCCUUGUAACAAAGAAGUAUAAAGAAAACAUG